RNAcentral lists this long non-coding RNA (222 nucleotides) under Vicia faba (fava bean). The record is from RNAcentral. Lineage: Eukaryota; Viridiplantae; Streptophyta; Magnoliopsida; Fabales; Fabaceae.
AUGAACCACAAAUCUCCUGGCGUUAACCAUCUCCAGUCCUCUCCAGCGAUCUUCGGCGCUUCUACCACUGACUUCUCCUUUACUCAUGUCGCGCCUGCCUUCAUCUCAAUUCGAUUUGUGAUUCGAACUCAGAGGACUGUUGCAAGUUGCUGUGAAAACGAUGAUGUAUUUCAGAGCUUCUACAAAAUUAUUGUUACGGAGGAUCGAAGAUUGAAGGUGUAA